Molecule: ribosomal RNA, 253 nt
Filed under: uncultured bacterium
Lineage: Bacteria
Description: partial 16S ribosomal RNA
Rfam family: Bacterial small subunit ribosomal RNA
Source: RNAcentral
UACGUAGGGUGCGAGCGUUGAUCGGAAUUACUGGGCGUAAAGCGUGCGCAGGCGGUUUGCUAAGACCGAUGUGAAAUCCCCGGGCUUAACCUGGGAACUGCAUUGGUGACUGGCAGGCUAGAGUAUGGCAGAGGGGGGUAGAAUUCCACGUGUAGCAGUGAAAUGCGUAGAGAUGUGGAGGAAUACCGAUGGCGAAGGCAGCCCCCUGGGCCAAUACUGACGCUCAUGCACGAAAGCGUGGGGAGCAAACAGG